UACGAAGGGUGCAAGCGUUACUCGGAAUUAUUGGGCGUAAAGCGUGCGCAGGCGGUGAUGUAAGACAGGUGUGAAAUCCCCGGGCUUAACCUGGGAACUGCAUUUGUGACUGCAUCGCUGGAGUGCGGCAGAGGGGGAUGGAAUUCCGCGUGUAGCAGUGAAAUGCGUAGAUAUGCGGAGGAACACCGAUGGCGAAGGCAAUCCCCUGGGCCUGCACUGACGCUCAUGCACGAAAGCGUGGGGAGCAAACAGG
Molecule: ribosomal RNA, 253 nt
Filed under: uncultured bacterium
Lineage: Bacteria
Description: partial 16S ribosomal RNA
Rfam family: Bacterial small subunit ribosomal RNA
Source: RNAcentral